UACAGAGGUCUCGAGCGUUAGGCGGAAUCACUGGGCGUAAAGCGCACGUAGGCGGAUUGCUAAGUCAGGGGUGAAAUCCUGGAGCUCAACCCCAGAACUGCCUUUGAUACUGGCGACCUUGAGUCCGGGAGAGGUGAGUGGAACUGCGAGUGUAGAGGUGAAAUUCGUAGAUAUUCGGAGGAACACCAGUGGCGAAGGCGGCUCACUGGCCCGAUACUGACGCUGAGGCACGAAAGCGUGGGGAGCAAACAGG
This 253-nucleotide ribosomal RNA is filed under the name uncultured bacterium. RNAcentral's name for it is "partial 16S ribosomal RNA". It matches the Rfam family "Bacterial small subunit ribosomal RNA", at positions 524 to 776 of the family's 1533-position model. The record is from RNAcentral.